GGAAGGAGACCUUGUCCGCCCGCAAGAUUUCAGGUGAAACCCCUUCCGCAGAAGGAAGUUACUCCCAACCGAGCUUUAUCUCCUCUCCUUCUUUAAACCUGCCCUUUGAAGUUCCUCAGUCUCUCCAGAAUCACAAAGACAAAGGACUCAGUCGCAACCCAGCCUCUUCUCAGGACUGGGAUCUGUUAGCACUCAUCGCAUUCUGAGAUUUGUAGUAAAGCACCUCAGAGGGAAAAGUUCUUGCCAGUGACUGAAGGAGGCCUGGUCGUUUGGGCUCAGCAGGAACUCCAACAGGAGUGGAAGCGUCGACUCAGGCUGGGAGCAAAUCAGCAUGUUUGCAAAGCCUGCCCAAAAGACAAGCCUACAGGAGGUAGUGUGACAAGCCAUACUG
This is a long non-coding RNA of Neogale vison (American mink), 391 nucleotides long. RefSeq lists it as uncharacterized. Lineage: Eukaryota; Metazoa; Chordata; Mammalia; Carnivora; Mustelidae. The transcript is spliced from 3 exons. The record is from RefSeq and is a predicted model, not a curated record.